GCGCUUGCUUUGGCAGUACAUAUACUAAAAUUGGAAUGGUAUAGAGAAGCUUAGCAUGGCCCUUGCACAAGAAGCAAAUGGAUAUCCUACAAAAUUAAGAAGAGUGA
Molecule: small nuclear RNA, 107 nt
Organism: Perognathus longimembris pacificus (Pacific pocket mouse)
Lineage: Eukaryota; Metazoa; Chordata; Mammalia; Rodentia; Heteromyidae
Source: RefSeq, a predicted model, not a curated record